Molecule: unclassified non-coding RNA, 409 nt
Filed under: Hevea brasiliensis (rubber tree)
Lineage: Eukaryota; Viridiplantae; Streptophyta; Magnoliopsida; Malpighiales; Euphorbiaceae
Source: RNAcentral
CGAGAAUAAAGUGCGAAUUAUAGCUUUGUAAUGUUGAGCUUCUUAGAAAACCAUAACGUUUGUAUCUGCCCAUAAAUUCUUCUAGCUAUAGAUCCAUUAAGUUUCCCCUUUACAAAGCAUUUUUCAAACAAAGGACCACGAAUUAACCAACCCACUAGCUAAAGCUAAAGCUUAGCUUAGCAGGGAUCAUCCCCACAGUAUCUAAGCAUGGGAUACCUGAGUUUGAAAAAAUUAAAAAAAAAAAAAAAAAAGAGGAAAAAGAAAAGAGGGGAAAAAAAAUUAAACUACACCCAAAAAAGCAACCUGAGGAAGCAGAUUCAGAAGCCCAACAGAAGCACUUAUUGUACCCUCAUGAAAAAGAACACAAUAUGAACAGCUCUUCAACGUCCUGUUGCUGCACGAGCCCCUC